GCGCGCGGCUCCUGCGGGCUUUUCUACAAGGAGAAAGAAGGAACUGACUGGCUGUGUUAGUCCCUUCUCCCUCCUGGGGGAAAAGCCCGCAAGAGCCGCGCGA
Molecule: non-coding RNA, 103 nt
Organism: Podarcis lilfordi (Lilford's wall lizard)
Lineage: Eukaryota; Metazoa; Chordata; Lepidosauria; Squamata; Lacertidae
Source: the annotation of a GenBank genome assembly